RNAcentral lists this ribosomal RNA (200 nucleotides) under uncultured bacterium. Its description in RNAcentral is "partial 16S ribosomal RNA". It matches the Rfam family "Bacterial small subunit ribosomal RNA", at positions 29 to 256 of the family's 1533-position model. The record is from RNAcentral.
AACGAACGCUGGCGGCAGGCUUAACACAUGCAAGUCGAACGGUCUCUUCGGAGGCAGUGGCAGACGGGUGAGUAACGCGUGGGAAUCUACCUAGUUCUACGGAACAACAGAGGGAAACUUCUGCUAAUACCGUAUACGCCCUACGGGGGAAAGAUUUAUCGGAAUUAGAUGAGCCCGCGUAAGAUUAGCUAGUUGGUGGG